This 291-nucleotide unclassified non-coding RNA is filed under the name Hevea brasiliensis (rubber tree). Lineage: Eukaryota; Viridiplantae; Streptophyta; Magnoliopsida; Malpighiales; Euphorbiaceae. The record is from RNAcentral.
CCAACAUUUACGCAUUGUCAGCUAAGCAAAUACAAAACAAGCUUUCCUUUCUGGGGGCCAGGGCAGGCGAAGUAAACAAUUCUCAAAAGACUAGCUUAAAAACCUCCACCAAAAAGCUUUGCAAAGAUAUAACCUGUGCAACAUGGUCUAAAAAAGCUUUACAUCAAUAUGACAAUCGGGUACAUUUCCAAUCCCAAGCAAUCACAUUAUUUCUAUGCCAGCAAAACUCAGGUCUCAUAACUUCAAACAACCCAUCUCUCUUAGUGAUGAGCCUUUGCUUCAGCUUUCUUG